GCUUGCUCCGGCAGCACACACACUAAACUGGAACGAUACAGAGAAGAUUAGCAUGGCCCUUGUGCAAGGAUGACAUGCAGAUCUGUGAAGCCUUCCAUAUUUUU
Chionomys nivalis (European snow vole) is the source of this 104-nucleotide small nuclear RNA. The record is from RefSeq and is a predicted model, not a curated record. Lineage: Eukaryota; Metazoa; Chordata; Mammalia; Rodentia; Cricetidae.